This 433-nucleotide ribosomal RNA is filed under the name uncultured bacterium. Its description in RNAcentral is "partial 16S ribosomal RNA". It matches the Rfam family "Bacterial small subunit ribosomal RNA", at positions 29 to 507 of the family's 1533-position model. The record is from RNAcentral.
AACGAACGCUGGCGGCAUGCCUAACACAUGCAAGUCGAACGAGACCUUCGGGUCUAGUGGCGCACGGGUGCGUAACGCGUGGGAACCUGCCCUUAGGUUCGGAAUAACUCCCCGAAAGGGGUGCUAAUACCGGAUAAUGUCUUCGGACCAAAGAUUUAUCGCCUUUGGAUGGGCCCGCGUUGGAUUAGCUAGUUGGUAGGGUAAAAGCCUACCAAGGCGACGAUCCAUAGCUGGUCUGAGAGGAUGAUCAGCCACACUGGGACUGAGACACGGCCCAGACUCCUACGGGAGGCAGCAGUGGGGAAUAUUGGACAAUGGGCGAACGCCUGAUCCAGCAAUGCCGCGUGAGUGAUGAAGGCCUUAGGGUUGUAAAGCUCUUUUACCCGGGAUGAUAAUGACAGUACCGGGAGAAUAAGCUCCGGCUAACUCCGUG